RNAcentral lists this ribosomal RNA (405 nucleotides) under uncultured bacterium. Its description in RNAcentral is "bacterial SSU rRNA". It matches the Rfam family "Bacterial small subunit ribosomal RNA", at positions 355 to 776 of the family's 1533-position model. The record is from RNAcentral.
UUAGGAAUCUUGCGCAAUGGGCGAAAGCCUGACGCAGCAACGCCGCGUGGGGGAUGAAGGCCCUCGGGUUGUAAACCCCUUUCAGUCGGGACGAAAAUGACGGUACCGACAGAAGAAGCCCCGGCCAACUACGUGCCAGCAGCCGCGGUGACACGUAGGGGGCAAGCGUUGUCCGGAUUUAUUGGGCGUAAAGGGCUCGUAGGCGGUUCGACAAGUCGGGUGUGAAACCUCCAGGCUCAACCUGGAGUCGCCGCUCGAAACUGUUGUGACUAGAGUCCGGUAGAGGAGCAUGGAAUUUGUGGUGUAGCGGUGGAAUGCGCAGAUAUCACAAGGAACACCAGUAGCGAAGGCGAUGCUCUGGGCCGGUACUGACGCUGAGGAGCGAAAGCAUGGGGAGCGAACAGG